RNAcentral lists this ribosomal RNA (468 nucleotides) under uncultured bacterium. RNAcentral's name for it is "partial 16S ribosomal RNA". It matches the Rfam family "Bacterial small subunit ribosomal RNA", at positions 28 to 507 of the family's 1533-position model. The record is from RNAcentral.
GACGAACGCUGGCGGCGUGCUUAACACAUGCAAGUCGAACGGAAAGGCCCUGCUUUUGUGGGGUGCUCGAGUGGCGAACGGGUGAGUAACACGUGAGUAACCUGCCCCUGACUUUGGGAUAACUUCAGGAAACUGGGGCUAAUACCGGAUAGGAGCUCCUGCUGCAUGGUGGGGGUUGGAAAGUUUCGGCGGUUGGGGAUGGACUCGCGGCUUAUCAGCUUGUUGGUGGGGUAGUGGCUUACCAAGGCUUUGACGGGUAGCCGGCCUGAGAGGGUGACCGGCCACAUUGGGACUGAGAUACGGCCCAGACUCCUACGGGAGGCAGCAGUGGGGAAUAUGGCACAAUGGGCGGAAGCCUGAUGCAGCAACGCCGCGUGCGGGAUGACGGCCUUCGGGUGGUAAACCGCUUUCGCCUGUGACGAAGCGUGAGUGACGGUAAUGGGUAAAGAAGCACCGGCUAACUACGUG